GUUUCUGUAGUGUAGUGGUCAUCACGUUUGCCUUAUAUGCAAAAGAUCUUCAGUUCAGAACUGGGCGGAAACA
Non-coding RNA from Danionella cerebrum, 73 nucleotides. Lineage: Eukaryota; Metazoa; Chordata; Actinopteri; Cypriniformes; Danionidae. The record is from the annotation of a GenBank genome assembly.